This 253-nucleotide ribosomal RNA is filed under the name uncultured bacterium. Its description in RNAcentral is "partial 16S ribosomal RNA". It matches the Rfam family "Bacterial small subunit ribosomal RNA", at positions 524 to 776 of the family's 1533-position model. The record is from RNAcentral.
UACGAAGGGGACUAGCGUUGUUCGGAUUUACUGGGCGUAAAGCGCGCGUAGGCGGAUCGCUAAGUCAGGGGUGAAAUCCCAGGGCUCAACCCUGGAACUGCCUUUGAUACUGACGAUCUGGAGAUCGGGAGAGGUUGGUGGAAUUCCGAGCGUAGAGGUGAAAUUCGUAGAUAUUCGGAGGAACACCAGAAGCGAAGGCGGCCAACUGGCCCGAUACUGACGCUGAGGCGCGAAAGCGUGGGGAGCAAACAGG